Molecule: long non-coding RNA, 5257 nt
Organism: Monodelphis domestica (gray short-tailed opossum)
Lineage: Eukaryota; Metazoa; Chordata; Mammalia; Didelphimorphia; Didelphidae
Source: RefSeq, a predicted model, not a curated record
CCACAUAUUAGCUUAGUUUUACAUAGUUUCUAUAAAUAUAGAAUAAAUUAUAUAUAUAAUUUUGUAUAUAAUGUAUAUAUAGUUGUAUGUGUGUGCAUGUGUAUAUAUAUUGCAUUUAUAUGUAUGUGCAUAUAUAUAUAUAUAUUUAGAUAGUUGCCCCAAGAUUCUCUUUGAGUUUGCCACUAUUGCCCUGGACAAGGACAACAGUAAAUUGUAAAGGUGUUGGUUGACCUGCUCUGUCAGAGGGGGCUUCCUCAGUGGGGAGUUUCCUAUGCCGAUGAGGCUGGAGUUUGCUCUUUAAUCUUAGCCACAGCAUUGCCGAUAUCAUGACAAGCCAGAAGUGCUGCCCUGGGCUAUGGGGAGCACGUUCUGAACACAAGCCUCACUCCUGGGAGUACUGGGGAGGGGCGAGAGUUAGCAGACUGUUAGGAGGGCAUUCCUGAGGACUGAGCUGGCUCCUUCUGGAAAAGGGCCAUGUGGUCCCCGAGACAAACCAUGAAGGCAGCAGCGACAAUGACAAACACUUGAUAAUGCUUUCUGUAGCACUUUAAAUGUAUGCAAAGUUCUGUAGGGCACCAGCACUUUUAGUAUUACUGUCGAGAAGUUAAAUGAUUUUGCUUAAUACUUUAUAUAGUAAGUGGGAAAGCUAGAAUUUGAUCCCAGAUUAUUUGAUUGUAAGACUAGUGCCUCUAUGUGCCCUGAACUACAGAGUAAAAUGACAUUCUCUACACAUACUCUGUGGAGAAAAUGUUGGUCAUGUAUUUCUCUUUUUAGCUACAUUAUCUAUAUGACAAAACAUACUACAGGCAGUUGAAUUUUCGGAUGCUAAGAAUUAUAAUGGGAGACAGCUAGGUGGCACAGUGGAUAGAGUGCCAGACCUAGAGUCAGGAAGAUCUGAGUUCGAAUCCAGACUCAAGACACUGUCUUACUCUGGGAAAAUAACUUAAUUUUGUUUGCCUCCAUUUCUUCAUCUCUAAAAUAAGCUGGAAAAAGAAAUGGUAAAAUGUUCCAGCAGCUGUGCCAAGAAAACCCCAAAUGGGGUCAUGAAGAGUAGGACAUGACUGAAAAAUGACUGAAGACAAGAGCAAUUAAUACUGGUUCAUCCUUCUGCCUCCUGCCUGUGUAGCUGUAUACACUAUCCUCCAUGCCUGGACUACCUCCAUAUUAAAUUCUGUUGAAAUCUUUAUCCCUCCUUCGAGGCCCAGUCCAAGCUAGCAUAGUGUCCAUAACAUGGUAGGGGAUUAAUAAAAUCUUAUUGAAUUAAUGGGUAAAUGAACGACAUCUCAUCCAUUAAUGCCCUUCCUCUUCUCCUUCAGCUGAAAACCCUUGAUCCAAUCUUCCUCAAAUCUCUCAUGCCAUUCCGUUUCAAUGUGUAAACAUACAUUUAUAUUCUAACUCAUAGUUAUCUGUGUACACAUCAAUUCCAGUCUCCCCUUCCUCUCUACCCCCUCUCCCAAUAGAAUGUAAAUUCCUUGAAAGCAGAGACUGUGACUGCGUUGAUUUUCAGCUUUGUAUCCACAGUACGUGGCACAUAAAUUUAUAAUUCUCUAUCGAGUAAGAGGACUGAUUUCCAAUAAUCGCACAUGAAAAUCAAUCUCAGUUCAGUGGUCCUGUGCAUGUAUCAUUACAUGAGUCCUGAAUAAUCAUGACUGAGCAACAGAGCCCAAACUUAAUAGUAGCCAGGGACAAAAGUCAGAUAUUCCAAGGAGAUGAAGUAUAGAUUUCAGCCUCAAAGUCACAGGGUUGAAGUUAAGCUCAGGGGAAGCACAUCAUGAAUUAACACAUGUAAAGUGUUUUACAAACCUUAAAGCUAUAGCUAUGUAAAUGCUAGCUAUUGUUGGCUAAAUAGGCUUCAGAAAAUGUUACUGUAGCAUACUUGACUCUCACAGGAGAGUUAUUGUAUCCUUAAGUGACCUUCUUACUUCUAGGAACUGGUUUAGACACCUGGAAAUAUACUAUUCAAGAAGACAUAAUGGAGAAAUCAAAACUGGUAGCCAUAUUUAAGUGUAAACAGGUGCCACAUUGCAAAGAAUUGAGCCCCAUCUCUCCCUAUUCAAGUGUAAAUACUAAAAACUGAACAUAAUCAGAAUAAAGCAGAAAGAAGGAUGUCAAGAUAAAAUCUGGAAUCUUGGUUAGUCUUGGUGGAAAUACUAAAGUUGCAAAGAAAACUUCUAAAGGCUUAAGAACUGAUCAGUUUACAGGAAGGAGACUUCUGGGUCAAGAGAUCAAGAUGAAGGACUAGACCUUUUUUCCAAAUUUCAGGUCCUUACAAACCUCUCCAAAAUAAGAAUUACAUUCAAGAAAUAUAAUUUAAAAAUCUCAAUUGUCUCCAUCAUCUAAGACAAAAAGAACCCUAUUGGGGCAAUAAUCCAGUUAAUUAAAUACAGGCCUAGAGAAGUCCAAUUUUUAAUGUGCUCAUUCAUCACUCUUUCCCCACUAGCCACCAUUCUCUUUCAGGUCUGUACUCACAAGUUAACUCACAGGCUUGCAAGAGAGCUUAACUUUGCCUACUCCUUUCUCUGUCCCCCCCCCCCCCUCCAAUGCUGAAGCUUGCUCUGACUGGGUCUGCAAUAAUUAUGGCAGCAUCCUGUGUUGCAACAAUACUCAGCUUGAGAAAUAAGGAACAGAGAGAACUAGGAUAGGACACCAGUGAGCAUGAAUCUCUGCCAGACUUGACACAAAGGAGACUGGCAUUCGAUUAGGACCAAUUCUGCCCUCCCAGAAGUCACCUGGAAAAAGACAUUGGUUUGUAAAAUGUGAUUUGCCCAGUGUGGGAGGGAGCUGAGGCAACUCUGAGGUCCAGCCGAUGGAGAAACUGCUAUCAAAGGGGAAGGAAUCAGAAAGUGAUCAAUUGGGGGAUUAUAAGGGAAAAAAAAAGACUGAAAUUACAAAAGAUCUCAGAAGGAAGAAAACUCAGUGAAAGAACUUAAGGAAAAGCAGAUAAAUCAAUGGAGGUGGAAGGGUGAGUACAAAUAUUUUUUGAUUAAAAAAAUUAAAUCAAAGGAAAAAACAAAAAGCAUAGAAUAAAAGAUGAAGGCAAGUAAAGGAUAGAAUUUCUGAGACUUAAAUCCUAUCUAUAGGUACAAAGAAAUUUUAUUCAUCUCAGAGUUCUCUUUAAUAAUGAAAUCAUAAGUCUAGUCCCUGUCCCUAUCCACUAUGUGCUGGGUACUAGAGAAAAAAGGCAAAACCAAAACCAAAAGAUAGCAAUAAAGACUUAAAAACCCAACAACGCGUGUACUUAUGAGAUAUAUACAUUAUAAAUGGAAGGUAGUCUUAGAAGGAAGGCACUAUCAAGGAAUGGGAAUGGGGAGGAAGUCAUGUGGGACCAGGAACGGUUUCUUGUAAAUGGUAAUAUUUGAUCUAAGUCUUGAAGAAAACCAAGGAAAGCAGGACAUUGAGAUGAAGAAAGAGAGAAGGUGUUCCAGGCAUUGGAUAGAGCCAAUGGAAAAAAACAGAGAAUUGGCAGAAUGAUUGUCAUAAUUGAGCAACUGCAAGCAGGCCAGUAGAGUUGAACUGGUGGAGACUUAGUGGAGGGACAUAAAGUAAAGGAGCCUGAAAAAGUAGAAGGGGACAAGUUAUGAGGGGCUUUAAAUGCUAAAUAGAAUUUUAUAUCUGAUCUGAUAGGCAGCCACUGAAGUCAACUUAGUAGGAGGAACUGUUACAUGGUAAGAGCUACAUUUUAGGUUAAAGCCCAGCUCAAGUCACAUAGGAAGUGGCAGAGUUAGGAUUCAAAGACCCUGAAGCAUUUGCUAGUAACUGAGUGGGGUGGGUUUUGCCCGCAGUCCCUUUUCGUUAGAACCCAGGGUAAAAUGGGAGAGGGCAUAGAUGACCCUUUAGAACAACAACAUCUCCAUGAUGAGUCUUUCCCACUUAUGUGGAUGACAGAUUUUUAGAAUGAAUAAAUGCUAUAUAGAAAACAUGCUUAAACCUGUAAGAAAGUUUUAGUAAAUGUGAAAGGCCUCCCCAAUGAUUAUCCUUUGUUGUUUUUCAGUUGUUUUAGUUGUGUUUGAUUCUUUAUAACCCCGUUUGGAGUUUUCUUGGCAAAAAUCCUAAAGUGAUUCUCCGUUUCUUUCUCCACUUUACAGAUGAGAAAACUGAGGCAAACAGGGUAAAGUGAUUUGCUUAGGAUCACACAAUUGUGUUAUUGUUGUUGAUUCAUUUCAGUCAUGUUCGUCUCUUCUUCAUCCCAUUUGGAGUUUUUUUCCUUCUCAAGUUCAUUUUAUGGAUGAGGAAACUGAUUAACAGGGUUAAGUGACUUGCCUAUGGUCACAUAGCUAUUAAGUGUCUGAAGUCAGAUUUGAACUCAAGAAGAUGUCUGACUCUAGGCUAAGCAUGCUAUCCACUGCACAACACAACCUAGCUGUCCUUAAUGAUUAUUGUUAUUUUGUACAAUUUCUUCAUAACUUUGUCUCUUCAUUUAUUCUUAUACCAUGACUAAAGGUUAUCUUUUCUAAAAAUCAAAAAUAUAAUUAAUCAGCAGUUUGGCAUAGAUGUAAAUUCUGGAUUACCAAACAAAAAUUUCACAAAUUCUAAGAAGAAGUAAUUAUUUCUUCUUGUUAUAUCGCAUUCAGGGUCCCAUAAUUUUUACCAUAGCAACCAAUUCUCCCUUGAUGAAAAUCAGACUUAGAAUAAAAAUUUCUCUACCUUGAAUCUUCUACUUUUUAAAGGAUGACAUUAUCAAGACAAGAUGAAAAAUUAUUAUCCAUUCUGCUUUUGCCAGAAAUUGAACUUUAUCAUCUGUAGAGAAUCUCUUUCAUCUGCAAAUCUUCUAUGAGCAUGGCAAAUACCUUUGCUGAAGAAACACACUCAGAUGUGUCCAUGUCUGCUCAUGUCAAAACCAGAACUUGAACCACAUACAUCCAAGUCCAGACAGUAUUAAAUUGGCUGAUUCUGGAAGCAAGUGCUGGAAGAAUGAAAUUAUCCAAGAAUAUCCAGCUAUAAGGUGAAGAUGCACUGAAGAUGGCUGCAAGCUUCAAAAAGCUAGACGACUAGGCCACCAGAUGUCUACAUCCUGGAGAUCAUAUCAGAGUUUGCUGGCAGUCAAGCAUAGUGAAGAGUGUAGCCCAAAGAGAAUCAACUGGACAUAGUUAUCUCUGCUUAUGGAAGGGUCCUAUGCCAAGUGAAGCUUGAAAUUAUUUGAAGACAUUUGGUUCACCCUCCUAAGAGUCCCCCUGGCACCCUGGACUCCAAAUGAAUUAAUGGAUAUGGAAAUAAAAUUGUUUUCUCAAUGAUGAUAAUAAAAAUGCACAACAGCAUA